UUGAACUAUGUGUACUUGCUGUAAAUACGGGCAAACAGUGAAAUGUGGGCUUUAGGUGGGCAUUUGAUAAGCAAAGAAUGCCUAUAAUGGACCUGCAUACAUUU
Molecule: non-coding RNA, 104 nt
Organism: Daucus carota subsp. sativus
Lineage: Eukaryota; Viridiplantae; Streptophyta; Magnoliopsida; Apiales; Apiaceae
Source: Rfam